ACGGAGGGUGCAAGCGUUGUUCGGAAUUACUGGGCGUAAAGGGCGUGUAGGCGGCUGAUUAAGUCAGAUGUGAAAGCCCUGGGCUCAACCCAGGAAGUGCAUUUGAAACUGGUCAGCUAGAGUACGGGAGAGGAAGGUGGAAUUCCUGGUGUAGAGGUGAAAUUCAUAGAUAUCGGGAAGAACACCGGUGGCGAAGGCGGCCUUCUGGCCCGAUACUGACGCUGAGACGCGAAAGCGUGGGGAGCAAACAG
Molecule: ribosomal RNA, 251 nt
Filed under: uncultured prokaryote
Description: partial 16S rRNA
Rfam family: Bacterial small subunit ribosomal RNA
Source: RNAcentral